Molecule: ribosomal RNA, 468 nt
Filed under: uncultured bacterium
Lineage: Bacteria
Description: partial 16S ribosomal RNA
Rfam family: Bacterial small subunit ribosomal RNA
Source: RNAcentral
GACGAACGCUGGCGGCGUGCUUAACACAUGCAAGUCGAACGGAAAGGCCCUGCUUUUGUGGGGUGCUCGAGUGGCGAACGGGUGAGUAACACGUGAGUAACCUGCCCUUGACUUUGGGAUAACUUCAGGAAACUGGGGCUAAUACCGGAUAGGAGCUCCUGCUGCAUGGUGGGGGUUGGAAAGUUUCGGCGGAUGGGGAUGGCCUCGCGGCUUAUCAGCUUGUUGGUGGGGUAGUGGCUUACCAAGGCUUUGACGGGUAGCCGGCCUGAGAGGGUGACCGGCCACAUUGGGACUGAGAUACGGCCCAGACUCCUACGGGCGGCAGCAGUGGGGGAUAUUGCACAAUGGGCGGAAGCCUGAUGCAGCAACGCCGCGUGCGGGAUGACGGCCUUCGGGUUGUAAACCGCUUUCGCCUGUGACGAAGCGUGAGUGACGGUAAUGGGUAAAGAAGCACCGGCUAACUACGUG